This 111-nucleotide ribosomal RNA is filed under the name Streptomyces albidoflavus. Its description in RNAcentral is "partial 23S ribosomal RNA". Lineage: Bacteria; Bacillati; Actinomycetota; Actinomycetes; Kitasatosporales; Streptomycetaceae. The record is from RNAcentral.
AUGGAAAGUGGUGGAGCCGGUGGCCCGAGCUGGUAGUAGGUGAGUGAUGGGGUGACGCAGGAAGGUAGUCCAUCCCGGGCGGUGGUUGUCCCGGGGUAAGGGUGUAGGACG